Molecule: transfer RNA, 76 nt
Filed under: Candidatus Peregrinibacteria bacterium
Lineage: Bacteria; Candidatus Peregrinibacteriota
Description: tRNA-Phe
Source: RNAcentral
GCCGGGGUAGUCCGCCGCGGCGGACACAUGACUGAAAAUCAUGGUGUCGGCAGUUCAAUCCUGCCCCCCGGCACCA